This 393-nucleotide ribosomal RNA is filed under the name uncultured bacterium. RNAcentral's name for it is "partial 16S ribosomal RNA". It matches the Rfam family "Bacterial small subunit ribosomal RNA", at positions 523 to 918 of the family's 1533-position model. The record is from RNAcentral.
AUACGGAGGAUGCGAGCGUUAUCCGGAUUUAUUGGGUUUAAAGGGUGCGUAUGCGGUUUUUUAAGUCAGCGGUGGAACGCAAGGGCUCAACCCUUGACCUGCCGUUGAAACUGGAGGACUUGAAUGCGGAUGCUGUGGGAGGAAUGUGUGGUGUAGCGGUGAAAUGCAUAGAUAUCACACAGAACACCGAUUGCGAAGGCAUCUCACAAAUCCGUGAUUGACGCUGAGGCACGAAAGUGUGGGGAUCAAACAGGAUUAGAUACCCUGGUAGUCCACACUGUAAACGAUGAUGACUCGCUGUCGGCGAUAUACAGUCGGUGGCCAAGCGAAAGCGAUAAGUCAUCCACCUGGGGAGUACGACCGCAAGGUUGAAACUCAAAUGAAUUGACGGGG